UACGUAGGGUGCGAGCGUUGUCCGGAAUUAUUGGGCGUAAAGGGCUCGUAGGCGGUUUGUCACGUCAGGAGUGAAAACUCGGGGCUCAACCCCGAGCCUGCUUCUGAUACGGGCAGACUAGAGGUAUGCAGGGGAGAACGGAAUUCCUGGUGUAGCGGUGAAAUGCGCAGAUAUCAGGAGGAACACCGGUGGCGAAGGCGGUUCUCUGGGCAUUAACUGACGCUGAGGAGCGAAAGCGUGGGGAGCAAACAGG
RNAcentral lists this ribosomal RNA (253 nucleotides) under uncultured bacterium. RNAcentral describes it as "partial 16S ribosomal RNA". It matches the Rfam family "Bacterial small subunit ribosomal RNA", at positions 524 to 776 of the family's 1533-position model. The record is from RNAcentral.